GAGUUUGAUUCUGGCUCAGGAUGAACGCUAGCGGCAGGCCUAACACAUGCAAGUCGAGGGGUAAGGAGAGCUUGCUCUCCCUAGACCGGCGUACGGGUGCGUAACACGUGUACAAUCUACCUUUUACUAAGGGAUAGCCCGAAGAAAUUUGGAUUAAUACCUUAUAGUAUUAUUUUAUGGCAUCAUUAAAUAAUUAAAGCUACGGUGGUAAAAGAUGAGUACGCGUCCCAUUAGCUAGUUGGAGUGGUAACGGCACACCAAGGCUACGAUGGGUAGGGGUUCUGAGAGGGAUGUCCCCCACACUGGUACUGAGACACGGACCAGACUCCUACGGGAGGCAGCAGUGAGGAAUAUUGGACAAUGGUCGGAAGACUGAUCCAGCCAUGCCGCGUGCAGGAUGACGGCCUUAUGGGUUGUAAACUGCUUUUAUACCAGGAAGAAUAAGGUCUACGAGUAG
This 457-nucleotide ribosomal RNA is filed under the name Capnocytophaga sp. canine oral taxon 295. Its description in RNAcentral is "bacterial SSU rRNA". It matches the Rfam family "Bacterial small subunit ribosomal RNA", at positions 9 to 465 of the family's 1533-position model. The record is from RNAcentral. Lineage: Bacteria; Pseudomonadati; Bacteroidota; Flavobacteriia; Flavobacteriales; Flavobacteriaceae.